AAGGUUGUUGAGAGUGCGCAGGUCUGGAAGACGCAGGAGCAGUUUGGAAAAGAGGGAGUUGUCGUCGGGACGGCGGCGGUUGACUAAGAAACCAGCACCACAGCCAUGAAGAGUGCCAACUCAUCUGACUCCAGGCCCAGACAGCUCAGCGAGGAACUGAACUCAAACAUGGCGUCCAGCAAGGAGCCCAUACCAAGACCCCUAAGGGUGCCCAGCGGGUUUCAGGUUUUCUGCAUCCUAUCACAUCCUCUCCGGCGGUCAUGCGUGCAUGCAGGAUGAGCUGAGAGAUGGCUGAGACGCGGUCUCACGUGUUCACAAGCUCUCCCGCCUCUCCUCUCCAAUAAUAGCCCUGGCAUAGUGCCCCAACCAAACUCCAAAACACCUGACCGCCGCUUCACAUGGAUUCCUGACACCGUUCCUGCCCAAACUAAAUCCGCAGUCUCGUGUUAACCGCUUCAACAAUCGCGAGGGUGCCGUGUCAGCUUUGCGAUGAUGUUAGUUCCCCCGCACAAAUGCAUUGCCUGAGAAAGCGGGGCAACGACGAGUCACGUUUUGCUAGAAUGUGCACUGGGGCUUUGUUUAACUUUUUUUACACAGUCGGUCUCUGGACCAAGAGAAUGUGAUUUAGAUCUGCACUGUUUAGAUCACUGGCACCAUGAUUAUUUAACAAUGUAAUCCAGUAGUGGUUUUCAACAGUCAACUUUCAUCAUUUAAGCCAGUCGUAGUUGCUUACUGUCAAGGGUCGUAUGUUGUUUUGAUUCGUUCAAUGCUUCUUUUCAGUCCAAACUUAGGGGAUUUUUGUUAUAUGGGAGUAAACUGUAGCUACAUAAGAUCACUAAUGGCAGACAUGUUCUCAGCAUGAUUUUAGGCAUCAUCUGUAGGCUAUGGCAAAUUGUGUACUUAGUUUUGAAUAACCGUAAAUGCACACACCAUAUUGAUUCACACUGACACAAACCUAUUUAAUGGGACAGUUGACCCAAAAAUUAUCUGAACAUUUUCUCAGCCUCAUGUUCUUGCGAAUGCAUAUCAGUAGCUAGGUCUAUCUAUUUUUAGUUUUUCCCUGUGUAAUGCAUGUUAAUGUUUCCGAUUCACUUUUAUUGUAUUUUCUUGAUUGUUAAAUAUCUCAACAUGAAAGCAAAUGAUAACAAAAAUUAAAUUUGUAGGCGAACUAACCCUUUAGUAACUGUGUACAAUGAUAAAUGACUAGAGUAAAUAUUAAACAAUUUUCCACUUAAUGUAAACAAUUUUCCACUUAAUGUCUUUCAAUCUGUGUUUUAUGGUAAAUACAAAUAAUUUGGA
Molecule: non-coding RNA, 1299 nt
Organism: Pimephales promelas (fathead minnow)
Lineage: Eukaryota; Metazoa; Chordata; Actinopteri; Cypriniformes; Leuciscidae
Source: RefSeq, a predicted model, not a curated record